AAUUGCUCUUUCCCCACGCCCCACCACAGGGCACAGGCCGACCCAACCGCCGCACUCAUCGCCGUUAACACCGCCGCUUCCGCAUCCCCAGAUCCACACCGCCCGGCCAAGGGCCACGGCUCCAUUCCCCAACCACCACGCCGCCGAACCCGUAUCCCCCCAUCCCCCAUCUCCCCGCCACACCCCCAACCGAAUCCACGCCGCCGCGGCCUGCCGCAUCCCCACCCCAUUGACGUAGCAGCCGCGCGCUGGCUGCAAGGACAUCGGCGAUGUAAUUCCUUAAACUGAGAUACAAAGAGGGAGGACAGGGUCGUGGGGCUCCGCCACGUGCCUGGAUCCAGGCACCAGCCAACGCAUCUUGCUCGAUCUGGCUACCGCCGCGCGCGUCCGUGCCAGAUCCGGCCGGCACGGUCGAGGCUGGGUGGAGGAGCAUGGGGCGGUGGCUUGGUUGUUGAGGAGGGGAAGCGAGCACGGGGCGGUGGCUAGGAUGUGGAGGAGGUGAAGCGAACACGGGCCGUUGUGGCUAGGAGGUGAGCUGCUCAUCCUCGAUCUGGAGAAGGGGAAGGCAGAGGUGUAGGUUCACAAGUUGAGGGAAGCUGCAGCCAUAAAUAAUCGAAAAAGUACCACACUUCACAGUUUUUGAAAAGAAUGGCAAACAGAGGAUAAAGAGAUGAUGCUUCUACAUAUAAAGAUUUGUGAACAGGGAAUGUAACGCUUGUCAUAGAGAGGUUGAAUGACUUCAUUCCAAGUCUUGCAUGAACAAGACAACAAGACAAAGGUCACCAGUAAUAAUGCCUUUGCAUCCACAAGGUUCUAGAGGUGUGUUUGGUGAGCUAAAAGAGUAUUCUGCUGGUUUCGGUUUUGUCCAUAAUGUAAAACCUUUACUUGUGAACCUACAAAUGUACUUAUGUGUGCAUGUAGACCUGAUGGAUGGUUGUGCUUUUGGCUGUCCUGUAACUAGA
RNAcentral lists this ribosomal RNA (962 nucleotides) under Triticum aestivum (bread wheat). Its description in RNAcentral is "partial small subunit ribosomal RNA". Lineage: Eukaryota; Viridiplantae; Streptophyta; Magnoliopsida; Poales; Poaceae. The record is from RNAcentral.